GGCCACCUUCAAGAAUUGAAAAAGAAGUUUAAGCACUGUUAUCAAUAUCAUCCAGCGUAACAGCUUUAUUCAACUGGAGCUAUCAGAGAAAUAUGCAACUGCGAAGUUCUCACGGGAGAAGUCCUGAGCACACUGCAAGGCAUCCUGGGACCACAGUCUCAAGGGUCACAGAGGAAGGGACUUCGGGGCUGAGACCUGCAGGAAGUGAGGGAACUGCAGGCCUGUCCUCACCCAGGGGAGGUGGAGCCCCCAGACGCUGUGAUAUGAAAUUCCAGAUCAUGGGAGGGAGAGUUUGAAGAAGGAAGAACCACCAAUAGAAAGCGGUCCCCAAAGAGGUAUCGGGGAUGGCACCCAGACAGGAGCACAUGUACCACUGCCCAGAAUGUGCAUUUCACUAGACAAGUGACCACAAAAGGCGGAGCACAGAGGACUUUUAGGAUGGUGAAGCUACCCAGUGAGAGACUACAAUGAGAUAAUUGGUCUUUCACAUUCCUCGUGCUGUCACCAAAAAUAACAGAGCAACAGCAGGGUGGAGGAAGAGCACCAGCACGGUGGAGGAAGAGCACCAACAUGGCAGAUAAAGAGCACCAACAUGGCGGAGGAAGAGCACCAACAUGGCGGAGAAAGAGCACCAACAUGGCAGAGGAAAAGCACCAACAUGGCGGAGGAAGAACACCAACAUGGCGGAGGAAGAACACCAACAUGGCGGAGAAACAGCACCAACAUGGCGGAUGAAGAGCACCAACAUGAAGCUAACCGCGUUCUCUUCACAGUUUGCCUUUCUUCCUCUUCUUCGUUGCUUUGACCGUCCUGCACAUAUCCAUUCUUAUGUCCAUCACCAAGACCUGAAAACCUCCACUGACUGGCUUCCCUACAGACUGAGAAUAUGGCAGAAAAGCUUAUAAAUCACAGCUGUGCAUUGUCCAAUCAACAUUCAACAGUGAUUCUUUUGAAAGUGACUGUGAAGAUCUGAAACUCUCAAGGAAACACAGAGAA
This 996-nucleotide long non-coding RNA is filed under the name Homo sapiens (human). RNAcentral's name for it is "HSALNT0360607". The record is from RNAcentral. Lineage: Eukaryota; Metazoa; Chordata; Mammalia; Primates; Hominidae.